AGUAAAUGCAGCGUGUGAUUCUGAACUGGAUCUUUUUGCACUAAGAACUUUGUUGGGACAAUCAGUGAAACUUACAUGGGGUCUCUGGAUCAGAUGGCGUUUAUUUCCUGGUGUUUAUAGUUUUAAUUAAUGUGGUUGGAAAGAGAGAAGGUGUACAAUAUAAUGAUUCAGCAAUUCUAUACAUUUCUCAGUGCUCAUCAUGCCUUCUCAACGUGGGACACUUCUGUUUCUUUGCUUCAACAGCUGGCUCAGAUCUAACAGACACAUAAUGAGUGCUGCCUACGUGUCAGGCAUCACACAAGGCUUUCUGAAACCAAAUUUUGUUCGGGUGGUGGUAUGGACUAGAAGUUUGUAUCCUUUCGAAACUCAUAUGCUGAAAG
This is a long non-coding RNA of Hyaena hyaena (striped hyena), 380 nucleotides long. RefSeq lists it as uncharacterized. The transcript is spliced from 4 exons. Lineage: Eukaryota; Metazoa; Chordata; Mammalia; Carnivora; Hyaenidae. The record is from RefSeq and is a predicted model, not a curated record.